UUCUUCAGGCUCGUCAGGUGGGCAGGGCAGUUCUGCUUCCAGUGGCCAUCUUUUUUGUUGCAGUGGAAACACUUUUCUUUCUCGAUGGCUUUUUUCUUUGGAACUUCUUUCUUCGGCUUGUUCUCUACCUUCUACUUCUUUGUAGACUUUUUUUCUUCCUAGUAGACUUUUUCUUGAAAAACAUCUACUCCAUAGCAAGAACAAAAUCUCUUGAAC
RNAcentral lists this long non-coding RNA (216 nucleotides) under Elaeis guineensis (African oil palm). RNAcentral's name for it is "long non-coding RNA (EGUI_LNC053489)". Lineage: Eukaryota; Viridiplantae; Streptophyta; Magnoliopsida; Arecales; Arecaceae. The record is from RNAcentral.